Passer domesticus (house sparrow) is the source of this 4084-nucleotide long non-coding RNA. RefSeq lists it as uncharacterized. The transcript is spliced from 3 exons. The record is from RefSeq and is a predicted model, not a curated record. NCBI's taxonomy places the organism in Eukaryota, Metazoa, Chordata, Aves, Passeriformes, Passeridae.
UGAGCGGCCAGCGAGGGGAUGUGUGAUCGGUGCCUUGUGCGCCCACAUGCCGCCGCUGUUCGAGGCUGUGGGCGCUCUGCGUGGUGUUCGGAAGAGAUUAAGACAAGGCAUUUGUUCCCUGGUGUGGAACCCGUUCGGAUUUAGGCCGGUUGGCAAAGCCUGAGGGAGGUCCGAGGAAACGGCGGUCUAAGUGAGAAUGAGACCUCAUCAGAUGAUGUAACCUGUACAGUUGGAAUGAAAAAAUGCCAUCCCUUUAGAAAGUCUACAAAAAGCAAACCUCAGGAAGUAAUAAUUUAUUUUUAUCCCUGAAGAGGCCUGCCUUCAUAUAGCUACAUGCAGCUGUAUAGCCAACACAGAGCUGCAUCCUGUCCUGUGCAAGACUGAGCAUGAGAGCAAAAGUUCUCAUUUCUACUGACUCCACAAAAAUGCUUUUUUGAAUAGACUGAGGAAUUGAACACUUUGCAGCUUUGGGCUGUGAAUACCAACAUGUAUUACACAACAUUAUUCUCUUAACUGUUUGAUCCUCCUGGUAAUCAUCAUCUAUGGUUUGCCACCAGGUUUUGUGGAAGGAUAUUUAGCAAGGUUCCAUAGAGCUUUACUGGUAACUUAAUUAGAUGAAAAACUUUUGUAUUUCUAUAAGUUAAGGGUUUGUAUCUGCUUUUAAAAGGAGGGGUUGGAAGAGAAACGUGGUCACUAAUGUUGGUUUUCUGUAAAGCAUAUUUGAAAAAAGAGUAAGAUAAUUUCUAGGUACUCUUCAAUGAGUAAAGAGGGCCUUGAUCUGCUUAUUCAGCAUUGAUUACAAGUACAGUAAAGAAAUUUUUGCAGAUAUUAGACAACAUUUCACUGUUUUGUUUUACUUUUGGUUUGAUUUGCUCUGUGCUUUUGUUUGGGUUGGUCAUUUUUUGAGGGAACUUUUAUCUAGUGCUGUGAAUUUCUAAAUUGGAAGAUAUUUCUUUCACUAAAGGUGAAAACAUUUUCACAUGUUUUGCUCGAUUUCAUGUGCUGUUAAUAUUGCUAUUAAAAUACUAUCCACAAAGUUUCUAUCUUGCUACCAUUUUGUGUUUGUGUUAAUUUACAUGUUUUAUUUUUAAUACCUGCAUACGUAACAAAUAGAAAGACACUGCUGUUUUGAAAGAGCAGUAGCUAUUAAAUAUUCAUAGCUUGUGCUUGGUUAAGGAGGCUCAGUAACCCCUGUUGCUUUGACACAAUGGCUUUUCACUGUACCAUGGAAACUUUGAUAUGAAGGCUGUAUUCUGAUUAUUGCUCAGAUUGUACAUAUAUAGCAUGUUGUUCUACUUUGCCUGUUUAGUAUCUUUCCAAUAUGUUUUAAGAAAUGGGGGGAAAACCUUAUGCAGUAACAGAUGUGUUUAAGUUCACUAAAACCAGUGCACCUUUGUGAACCUUUCUAAUAUUUUAAUUUUGUCAUUUUAAUAUUUAAAUUUUGUCUUAGGUUGCAAAUGCAAGGUGUGGCAGGAGGUGUGUAUUCUAUUGCCAUCUGUUAGAACCAGGUGGGGCAGUUUUCUUUAUUUCUUCCACAACCAAUCCUCCCUCGGGGGAAUAUAUUCUGUUAAUGGGCCAUUGAGUGUCACUGCACAGCUGAUAAAACUACAUCAUCCCAUUGGAGAUGCUCCACCCAGGGGGAGGAGCCAAACAUUCCUACCUGGAGACAGUUGGAGCUUUGGAACACCACAGUGAGCCUUUUCUACUGGAUUCCAGAGGAGCAGCUUUCUUUUCCACUGGAUUCCCAGAGGAAGACCAGGCCCAUCUACACCACCACUGGAUCUUCAGGGGAAAACUCCACCCUUCUGCAGGAUCACUGCUUUAACAGAGCCACAUCUGCCACUCCAGCAGGACUGCAGCCACCAUUUAAUGGGACUGCUACAACACCCUGACCCACAGGGUGUCAGGGUAAUGCAGUCUCUUACCUGAAUCAUCUGCCAAAGAAAUGUUGGUGAAUGUGCCAUCCUCCUCGUCCAAAGGUAACUCCAUUUUCCUGCCUUUUCCCAAAGUUUUUGAGAUGUGUGUUAGGCAUGGCAGUUGUCAGCCAUUUUCAAGUGCACACGUGACUUCUCUGGUUAAAUCUUUAAUGAGUCCAGCGCAGGUGUUACUGGCAGCUGCACACGCCUUGCUCUGUGUGCCAUCUCCUCUGAACCUUGAGCUCUUUUGCGGAAAUCAUUCAGCUGGAAAGUUUCUGACUUCUCACUGCUUUGUCAAACAAAUGCUGAAAAAACACUGCUAUUACAAGUUCUUUCUAUAACAGAAUUUUAUGCAUCCUGGCUGUCUUUUUGUUGUCAUUCUCCUUUAUUUUCUCUAGGGCUGCACAGGGGGGAUUUUCUUGGAGGGAUUUUUGAUAGAGAAAGCAAAAGUAACUUAGUGUUCAAGAAAUGUUGCUUACAGUCCAUGAAAAUGCAAUGGACAGAACCUGAGAGCAGCAAUUUUAAAAUACAAUCUUCAAAUACUUAGGAAUGCAAGUGACUAUAUUUACAUGAAACAGCUGCAUCAAAACCAUUAGGUAAUGUGAAAAAGUGAAGGUAUGUAAGUGAGUGUCAGAAGUUCUGUGGUAGAAGACAGAGGAGUAAAGAAGAGAAAUCAAGUUCAAAGAAAACCCCACUUUAGUCAUCUUGUUUUGCUUCUUAAUGCUGGACAUAGUUUGAACAUACAAAUUAAAAAAUCACCUCAAACUGCUUACUUUAAGAAUAUAUUAAGAGUAUAUUUUUUUUGUACUCCUGGAACACAGUAUUUUUUCUUGCAAUUAAUUAGAAACUAUAAAAUGGCCUUGACCGAAGACAGAAUAGUGAAUAGUGGAAUUACUAUUUUCAGGGUGUUGUAUCAGAAUCUACUUGUCCUUUAUUUUUUUAAUUUCGUAUUUAGAAAAAGACUGUUAAUUAAGGGUGUUGACAAAUACUUUUUUUUCUUAAUUGUAAUUCGGAGCCUUUCUAAAGUCUCCCUAAAAAUCAUAUCCGAGUUUUGUGAAGCAAUGACCAACUAUCGAAUGAGAAUUCUCUGAAUUUACAGUUUGCCUUUCACACUUUUGGAUGUAAUCUUGGACUCGUGAGACAGCUUCUAUGUACAAAGGAAAUGCAUAUAACUUUGCAGGACAAAGGACAGAAGACACAGAAUCACAAAAUUAAUUAGGCUGGAAAAGACCUCUGAGAUCAUCAAGUCCAGAGGUCUCCUUUGAUCACCACAGUGUCAACCAGACCAUGGCAUUGAGUACCACAUCCAGCUGUUUCUUGAACACCUUCAGAGAUAGUGGCUCCAUCACUUCCCUGGGCAGUCCAUUUCAUAGUUAAAAAAAAACCCUUUCCCUUUUAUCUCGUGAUGUCCUGAUAUUUUACUGGUGAAAAAACAUCUUUGGACAGGUGAUGCCAUGUUAAAGUACAAGUACCCAUUUCUUGCUGUCACCAUGUGUCAUUUAAAAGGAGGAACACAAAGGAACAGCAGCAGACAGAAAAAAAGCUUAAAAGAAAGGUAUGUAAUGGAAUUAACUGUCAGAGCAAAAGAAGUUUACUUAUUUCCAAAAGUGAAUUAUUUUCAGUGGAGAAAAUUAAUGUAAAAGUUAAUUUGGUUAUAAACUAUCAAUUCAUCUUUCUGAGGACUUCAUUACCAAGUUGAGCAGAGGUUGUGGAAUGCUGAGCAGCUGUCUGGCUGCCUUUUAAAAUAGGUGUCAGGAACUGGCAGAGGAGGUUGAGGGUAAGGAAAGUAUGGGGACAGCAUCUUCUAUAGCUUCUCCUGAGGCUUUUGUUUGAUUUUACAGCAGUAACAUCAGUUCAUGUAGCCAUGUGCUGGCCUGGUUUUGAUGAGUGUUGAUAACAAGCACAUCAGCAGAUCACUGUCUGGACUGUGGUGAUUGCCAUGAAAGCAAUAGAUAAACACCCAAGAAUGUCUUCAGGCUUGGUACUGAAAUGAAGCCCAAGAUUUUGAGGUUGAUCUGUGUCAAGGACACAAAUGGAAAAGGGUGUAGAUCCUUAGAUUUAAAACACCAUAGAUAAACCUCUCUGGUAGUAUGUUUGCAUUUUCAUUUCUGUAAGUACUGUGUAACUGUUUUCUAAUUAAAGCGUUUUUACAGUGACCUGAAAAGGAA